Oncorhynchus tshawytscha (Chinook salmon) is the source of this 3865-nucleotide long non-coding RNA. RefSeq lists it as uncharacterized. The record is from RefSeq and is a predicted model, not a curated record. Lineage: Eukaryota; Metazoa; Chordata; Actinopteri; Salmoniformes; Salmonidae. The transcript is spliced from 2 exons.
AUAGCCACCCUUUGCCUUGAUGACAGCUUUGCACACUCUAGGCAUUCUCUCAACCAGCUUCAUGAGGUAGUCACCUGGAAUGCAUUUCAAUUAACAGGUGUGCCUUGAGGCAGUCUAUACUAUUAACCAGGAUCCAGUUUCCGAUUAACUUAGCCGUAAGAUGCUUUUUUUGGGACAUCGGCUCCUGGACCCAAAGGGCUCUGGUCUCAAGUAGUACACUACAUAGUGAAUAGGGUACCUUUUGGGACACAACCAGUAAGAACAGACAUGCUUUAGCUAGUUAUUGAAUGAUGUGUUUAGUUUCCCUGCGACAUGAACAGAACUGAUACAGCACUGAGGACCCUGCGGACGGACGACCAGGCCUCUUUUUAUACGUGUGAAUUGUGAUUUGUAAUAUACUCUUACACUGUACAGUCUUCGCCUUAGAUAUUAUGAAGUAUAUAUUAUAUAGUGCUUUGUCAAAGAGCAACAUGUAGCCAAAGAGCUGGAAAGAACAGUUCUGUUGCAAAAUGCUUCUUAAAAAUGGAAGCAAAUGAAAAAGGGGAGGGACUUAACUGAUUUUGUCCAAUAGAAACUAUUUUUGGUUGCAACACAUUCGGUUUGCAACAGAAUCGGCGGAAUAAAAACACCUCAGAUUGUGAACUAGAAUGUGUGAACGGUGUUAGGUUUAUGUCGUACCUCCAGGGUCGCGUUCAUUAGGCACCAAACGGACUGAAACGGGGAAGGACUACCUGGACUAUUUUUCAUUGUGUGUUGCAAAACCCUAUCCAUUUCGUGUCCAUAGAACACAACCCAGUUAUAUUAUGUACUUAGUUACCACAUGUAGUUGAAUUCAAAAGCAGUGGUUGUAUUCUGUGCAGCAGUAUGGAGGCUUUAAUCAGUGGGGGACGACUGGAGAGCUGUAGAUAGACACGUAACUUGAGAUGUGAUUGAGAAUCAUCCCCAUUUCCAGCUUGAGCUACUCCAAACCAGAAGUUGCCUCACGGGAACAUACAAUGAACAAAAAUAUAAAUGCAACAUGUAAAGUGUUGGUCCCGUGUUUCUUGAGCUGAAAUAAAAGAUCCCAGAAAUGUUCCAUACGUACAAAAAAAUUAAAUUAUGCACAAAUUUAAUAUCCCCAUUAGUGAGCGUUUUGCCUUUGCUAAAAUAAUCCAGCCACCUGACCGGUGUGGCAUAUCAAACAGAAUCCUCAUUACACAGGUGCACCUUGUUCUGGGGACAAUAAAAGGCCACUUUAAAAUGUACAGUUCUGUCACAACACAUGCCUCAGAUGUCUCAAGUUGAGGGAGCGUGCAAUUGGCAUGCUGACUGCAGGGAAGCCGACCAGCGCUGUUGUAAUGAGUAUUCUGUAAUCUGUCAGGUGGCUACAUGCAGAGAAGCCCACCAGAGCUGUUGCCCGAGAACUUCAUAUCUCCAUCAGCUGCCGCCAUCAUAGAGAAUUUGGAAGGGCGUUCAACCGGCCUCAACCACAGAACAGAUGUAACCAUGCCAACCCAGGACCGCCACACUCCGCUUCUUCACCUGUGGGAUCAGAGGGGGAAUUUGUCUAAUCAAGCCCGUGUGGGUAAAAGCUCAUUGAUUGGCUGUCCUCCCAGGCCCACCUAUUGCUGCACCCCUGCCUUGGAGUGAAAUACAUAGAUAAGGGCCAAAUUAAUUUCAAAUUAGCUGAAAAGUUUUGGCCACACAUUUUGGAAACAUGAAUUCCACUAUAAUGCAAUCUUUCUUAGGGACGAUGCUUAUCAUAACCCAAUACUAACUACAUCCAUUUCUCCCUCUCAUACCAUGCAUGUGGUCUCAGACAGACAGAGGUCAAGGCUGGCCGUCCUAUUGCAAGGUUGUACAUUGUAAAUCCCCAAGGGGUUGUUCAGUACAGUGAAUAAAAAGGUAGAAUUAUAACAAUGUCAUUCUUAACUGGAUCUGUGUUCCCUUGUCAGAGAGGGACUAACCUGGGAAACAAAGCCUGUCUUAGUUACAUUGUAUAUCAUUAAUGUCACUUACAGCAAUUAUAUGAGGGUCAGAUGGAAAACUGCACAAAUUCAUGGAGGGAAUGAGAAAAAUCAGAUGAAUACUGCAGUCACACAGGCUGGCUAAAUAAAAAUUGUAAGAACAAUUAUUAGCAAGAAACCUGAUUAGUAAAUAGACCAAUUGGGUUACACAGACUGCAUGUGUAAACAGCCUUGUAGAAAUGCCUUAAUAUGAACACAAGGUCAGUCAAGAUGAAUUGAACAAAUGCCAGCAACACAUUGAUUAGUCUACAUGGCUUUUAUUGAGUCAUUGACUUAGGCAGCCAUGAGGAUCCAGUCCAGAAUGGAGAGUUCAGGUUUGAGAAACCGUCCCUCUGGGAUGUAGCUUGUGAGUAAUGACAGCAGCCAUUUAGGAUUCCACCUGCUUCUCCUGGUCAAUGUCUGUAGGUGAGAAGAACGGCUUAAAAAACAGACAGCAAUAGAGAAUCGUGACAUCGAUGCUAACGUGACAAAGUUAACCACCGAAAUUCAAGUUGGCAUACCCAUCAGAGUGCCUUAAUUCAAGGUCUAGUAGUUCUAGUUGCCAUCAGGUUUCAUAAUAAAACCAGUGGCUACUAAGGCAUUGUAUUUACCCUCUUUGGUAGGUAGAGUGUUCUUCUCCUCAGUCUCAGUCUUCUUCAGUUUAGUCAUGUCAAACUGAGCGAUCUCACUCACAUCUGGUUUGUCUGCCAUUGUUGAUUUGGGUUCUAAUGAAACAGAUUGGUGUUAAAUAAGCAGCCAAUGGCAUGCCAAUAUGAUAAAGCUCCCAGACUUGAUGUGGAGUAAUACUAUUAGGCAAACAUUUUACUGAUGUUAUUCACCUGCUGACAGUCUAAACCAUAAGCUAUUGAAGCACAGACCUACCUUAAACCUCCACAGGUACUGCACCACACAAAAUGGUUUGUAAAUAAGGAAGGAAUGAACACCUUCAUUUCCGGAAUCUAUUUAUGAGAAUGGAAAGGAAUGCUGAUUACUAGCAGGAGGGGCCUUCUAAUUUUCUAAGUGAUGGCACCUGUUCAUUCACCUGUUUAACAUCCAAUUAGCAUAAUUGGAUCGGCUACUGUGGAACACCGAAUGAGCACCCAACUGUAUGAUUUUUAACUAACAUAAAAAAAACCUGUUCUGUCAUCUGUAAUUUAUUGUAAAAACUAUGCCAAUUUUUCUCAAGCUCAUUUGAUCGACGAUUCUGGUUUUUGUUAACUUCAAAAUUGAAGAGAUAGAUAAAAUAAAAACUUCACGUGUCUUUAAAAAUGACCAGAGCCAAUCAGAAGGCAGGCCUGGGAGUUGGCUCGGAUUCAUAACGCGGCUGAAUACGGAAAGAACCGAACUGGAGACUCCGUGUGAGAGCAGAACGUCAAGACGUAAAGGUGACCAAAGUAUCCCCUGUUAAGUGUACAUUUGUUACAGCGAAACUAAACAGUUUGAUUUAGCGACUUAGUAACGGUUUGAUUUAGGGACUGUUGGGUUUAAAACCGCGGCGUAAAACAUUCAUUCAGUUAGAGCACCCUGUGUUGUUGUGUGUCUGUUGUCACUAUAAAUAUAAUAUCAACACGACUGUAUUUCCAACGAUCUGUAUACAGUCAUAACAUCAUCAUGCCCAGUUGUCAUUCUCGAGCUGGUAUUGACAUGACUUCUAUGUCACUGGCUUCAAUAUAGAAUAUUUGGUUAAAUGUCAUGUUGGAAUAGCCAACAAUAAGAGUAGCAAACAAAAGCUAGCUGACCAGAGAUGGUAUAUAGCUACUGUAUCAGUAUUAUCCAGCUAGCUGACCAGAGAUGGUAUAUAGCUACUGUAUCAGUAUUAUCCAGCUAGCUGACCAGAGAUGGUAUAUAGCUACUGUAUCAGUAUUAUCCAGCUAGCUGAC